This is a long non-coding RNA of Cervus elaphus (red deer), 225 nucleotides long. RefSeq lists it as uncharacterized. The transcript is spliced from 3 exons. Lineage: Eukaryota; Metazoa; Chordata; Mammalia; Artiodactyla; Cervidae. The record is from RefSeq and is a predicted model, not a curated record.
UGGGGUCACACAGAGUCGGACACGACUGAAGCGACAUAGCAGCAGCAGCAGCAGAUUCUAGUUUUCUCAUUUGAUUUAUGGGAGCUAAUGUGAAGCAAUACUUUCAAGAUUCUUAAAAUAACCAAAAUGUGGGGGAUCUCCAUGAGUCCAGGACUGGCUGUAUCCAGAGUACAUCAUGAGAAACGCUGGGCUGGAAGAAGCACAAGCUGGAAUCAAGAUUGCCAG